GUGUCAGCCGCCGCGGUAACACCGGCGGCUCGAGUGGUAACCGUUAUUAUUGGGUCUAAAGGGUCUGUAGCCGGCCGGAUAAGUCUCUUGGGAAAUCUGGCAGCUUAACUGUCAGGCUUUCAGGAGAUACUGUCUGGCUCGAGGCCGGGAGAGGUGAGAGGUACUUCAGGGGUAGGGGUGAAAUCUUGUAAUCCUUGAAGGACCACCAGUGGCGAAGGCGUCUCACCAGAACGGACCUGACGGCAAGGGACGAAAGCUAGGGGCACGAACCGGAUUAGAUACCCGCGUAGUCC
Molecule: ribosomal RNA, 293 nt
Filed under: uncultured bacterium
Lineage: Bacteria
Description: partial 16S ribosomal RNA
Rfam family: Archaeal small subunit ribosomal RNA
Source: RNAcentral